RNAcentral lists this ribosomal RNA (667 nucleotides) under Salmonella enterica subsp. enterica serovar Saintpaul. Its description in RNAcentral is "partial 23S ribosomal RNA". It matches the Rfam family "Bacterial large subunit ribosomal RNA", at positions 2159 to 2824 of the family's 2925-position model. The record is from RNAcentral. Lineage: Bacteria; Pseudomonadati; Pseudomonadota; Gammaproteobacteria; Enterobacterales; Enterobacteriaceae.
GAAGUGUGGACGCCAGUCUGCAUGGAGCCGACCUUGAAAUACCACCCUUUAAUGUUUGAUGUUCUAACGUGGACCCGUAAUCCGGGUUGCGGACAGUGUCUGGUGGGUAGUUUGACUGGGGCGGUCUCCUCCUAAAGAGUAACGGAGGAGCACGAAGGUUGGCUAAUCCUGGUCGGACAUCAGGAGGUUAGUGCAAUGGCAUAAGCCAGCUUGACUGCGAGCGUGACGGCGCGAGCAGGUGCGAAAGCAGGUCAUAGUGAUCCGGUGGUUCUGAAUGGAAGGGCCAUCGCUCAACGGAUAAAAGGUACUCCGGGGAUAACAGGCUGAUACCGCCCAAGAGUUCAUAUCGACGGCGGUGUUUGGCACCUCGAUGUCGGCUCAUCACAUCCUGGGGCUGAAGUAGGUCCCAAGGGUAUGGCUGUUCGCCAUUUAAAGUGGUACGCGAGCUGGGUUUAGAACGUCGUGAGACAGUUCGGUCCCUAUCUGCCGUGGGCGCUGGAGAACUGAGGGGGGCUGCUCCUAGUACGAGAGGACCGGAGUGGACGCAUCACUGGUGUUCGGGUUGUCAUGCCAAUGGCACUGCCCGGUAGCUAAAUGCGGAAGAGAUAAGUGCUGAAAGCAUCUAAGCACGAAACUUGCCCCGAGAUGAGUUCUCCCUGAGACUUAG